AGCAGUCCUAUCCUUUGGUACUCUGCUCAUCCUUCGCGAGGUAGUUAACACUUUAUUUUUAUUUUUUUGAAUGCGGGUGGACGGACAGAGAGCGAGGACGCGGAUCGGGCUGCAGCGGCCUUCUUUGCUGGAAGACUGGAAAGGUUGGGGGGGGGGGCGGGCGGCUUGGUUCUCGCGAUUACUCGUAUUUUUUGCCGAGGGGGCGUGAGGUCUCAUCUGCGAAUUCCCCGGUGCCAGGUGACGACGCAGAGGGCCCUCGCGGGGCCGCGCAAGGGCCGGCGGUUGCUGCGGCUCGGCGCGUGUUUGAAGUCGAAGAGGACGGAGGGCAGCAGCUGCGGCAGAGCGUGAAGUCCCAAGUUUUCGCCUUUCCGAUCCGAUGAAGAGCAGUCGUCCUUUUUCUCAGGCUUAAGCCCCUCCUGGACAUUGAUUUUCACGCCAUCCGUCCAUUCAUUCACGGCUCCGUCAGUCUUCUCGCCGCUCAGGCGGGAUGAGUAUCCGAGGAAUGAAUAUCCUUCCCUGGUGGUGCCGUGCCACCUCUCGGUGACGUGCCGGCGCGGCCCGGCGCCUGGACCGCCCAGACGCGGCAAGGCUUUUGAUCUGUUCCGCUCUGCGCGUCCGAGAGGUCUUUUUCCAUUGCGUUUUUAUCUCUAUUCCCCCGGCGGUGGGUGCCGCCGGCUCCGCAGCGGCAGCAAAGCCUCCCGUCACCGGCGCCCAUUCCGCUCUAUUCGGUCGUGGCCUCGUGCGGCGGAAGAGAGAGGGAGGGAGGGAGGGAGGGUGGGGCUCUCUCGCUCCUCCGCCGCGGUAGACUUUUACCGCCGCGGUGAAGGGCAACGCGUCGCCCGGUGGAUUACGAAAA
Molecule: long non-coding RNA, 856 nt
Filed under: Spirodela polyrhiza (greater duckweed)
Lineage: Eukaryota; Viridiplantae; Streptophyta; Magnoliopsida; Alismatales; Araceae
Description: long non-coding RNA (SPOL_LNC000993)
Source: RNAcentral